Molecule: ribosomal RNA, 269 nt
Filed under: uncultured bacterium
Lineage: Bacteria
Description: partial 16S ribosomal RNA
Rfam family: Bacterial small subunit ribosomal RNA
Source: RNAcentral
UACAGAGGGUGCAAGCGUUAAUCGGAAUUACUGGGCGUAAAGCGCGCGUAGGUGGUUUGGUAAGUCGAAGGUGAAAUCCCCGAGCUCAACUUGGGAACUGCCUUCGAUACUGCCAGGCUUGAGUCCGGGAGGGGAGAGUGGAAUUCCCAGUGUAGCGGUGAAAUGCGUAGAUAUUGGGAGGAACACCGGUGGCGAAGGCGGCUCUCUGGACCGGUUCUGACGCUGAGGCGCGAAAGCGUGGGUAGCAAACAGGAUUAGAUACCCCUGUA